This 487-nucleotide ribosomal RNA is filed under the name Meyerozyma guilliermondii. RNAcentral's name for it is "eukaryotic LSU rRNA". It matches the Rfam family "Eukaryotic large subunit ribosomal RNA", at positions 151 to 656 of the family's 3401-position model. The record is from RNAcentral. Lineage: Eukaryota; Fungi; Ascomycota; Pichiomycetes; Serinales; Debaryomycetaceae.
AAGAUUGUAACCUUGGGGUUGGCUCUUGUCUAUGUUUCUUGGAACAGGACGUCACAGAGGGUGAGAAUCCCGUGCGAUGAGAUGCCCAAUUCUAUGUAAGGUGCUUUCGAAGAGUCGAGUUGUUUGGGAAUGCAGCUCUAAGUGGGUGGUAAAUUCCAUCUAAAGCUAAAUAUUGGCGAGAGACCGAUAGCGAACAAGUACAGUGAUGGAAAGAUGAAAAGAACUUUGAAAAGAGAGUGAAAAAGUACGUGAAAUUGUUGAAAGGGAAGGGUUUGAGAUCAGACUCGAUAUUUUGUGAGCCUUGCCUUCGUGGCGGGGUGACCCGCAGCUUAUCGGGCCAGCAUCGGUUUGGGCGGUAGGAUAAUGGCGUAGGAAUGUGACUUUACCUCGGUGAAGUGUUAUAGCCUGCGUUGAUGCUGCCUGCCUAGACCGAGGACUGCGAUUUUAUCAAGGAUGCUGGCAUAAUGAUCCCAAACCGCCCGUCUUG